RNAcentral lists this small nucleolar RNA (72 nucleotides) under Castor canadensis (American beaver). RNAcentral's name for it is "Small nucleolar RNA SNORD18 (ENSCCNG00000016119.1)". Lineage: Eukaryota; Metazoa; Chordata; Mammalia; Rodentia; Castoridae. The record is from RNAcentral.
UGGUAGUGAUGCGACUCCACUUCAUUGGUCCAUGUUUCUGAACUACAUGGUUUUCUUGGAUAUUCCAAUGCU